RNAcentral lists this ribosomal RNA (392 nucleotides) under uncultured Acholeplasma sp. RNAcentral describes it as "bacterial SSU rRNA". It matches the Rfam family "Bacterial small subunit ribosomal RNA", at positions 986 to 1382 of the family's 1533-position model. Lineage: Bacteria; Bacillati; Mycoplasmatota; Mollicutes; Acholeplasmatales; Acholeplasmataceae. The record is from RNAcentral.
AUCCCCCGCGAUGCUUUAGAGAUAAAGCGGAGGGUAUUCGGGGAGACAGGUGGUGCAUGGUUGUCGUCAGCUCGUGUCGUGAGAUGUUGGGUUAAGUCCCGCAACGAGCGCAACCCCUAUUGCUAGUUACCAUCAUUAAGUUGGGGACUCUAGCGAGACUGCCAGUGAUAAACUGGAGGAAGGUGGGGAUGACGUCAAAUCAUCGUGCCCCUUAUGACCUGGGCUACAAACGUGAUACAAUGGCUGGAACAAAGGGAUGCGAAGCAGUGAUGUGGAGCGAAACCCAUAAAAACAGUCUCAGUUCGGAUUGAAGUCUGCAACUCGACUUCAUGAAGUCGGAAUCGCUAGUAAUCGCGGAUCAGAACGCCGCGGUGAAUACGUUCUCGGGGUUU